Molecule: ribosomal RNA, 253 nt
Filed under: uncultured prokaryote
Description: partial 16S ribosomal RNA
Rfam family: Bacterial small subunit ribosomal RNA
Source: RNAcentral
UACGGAGGAUCCGAGCGUUAUCCGGAUUUAUUGGGUUUAAAGGGUGCGUAGGCGGUCUUAUAAGUCAGCGGUGAAAGUUUGCAGCUUAACUGUAAAAUUGCCGUUGAAACUGUUAGUCUUGAGUGUAAAUGAGGUAGGCGGAAUUUGUGGUGUAGCGGUGAAAUGCUUAGAUAUAAGACGGAACACCAAUUGCGAAGGCAGCUUACUGGGAUACAACUGACGCUGAGGCACGAAAGCGUGGGGAUCAAACAGG